RNAcentral lists this ribosomal RNA (243 nucleotides) under uncultured Bacteroidota bacterium. RNAcentral describes it as "uncultured Bacteroidetes bacterium partial 16S ribosomal RNA". It matches the Rfam family "Bacterial small subunit ribosomal RNA", at positions 936 to 1181 of the family's 1533-position model. The record is from RNAcentral. Lineage: Bacteria; Pseudomonadati; Bacteroidota.
AGCAUGUGGUUUAAUUCGAUGAUACGCGAGGAACCUUACCAAGACUUAAAUGUAUUUUGACAGGUUGAGAAAUCGACUUUUCUUCGGACAAUUUACAAGGUGCUGCAUGGUUGUCGUCAGCUCGUGCCGUGAGGUGUCGGGUUAAGUCCCAUAACGAGCGCAACCCCUAUUUUUAGUUACCAGCGAGUCAUGUCGGGAACUCUAGAAAGACUGCCUGUGUAAACAGUGAGGAAGGUGGGGAUG